Molecule: transfer RNA, 73 nt
Filed under: Perkinsus olseni
Lineage: Eukaryota; Perkinsozoa; Perkinsida; Perkinsidae
Description: tRNA-Val
Rfam family: tRNA
About the family: Transfer RNA (tRNA) molecules are approximately 80 nucleotides in length. Their secondary structure includes four short double-helical elements and three loops (D, anti-codon, and T loops). Further hydrogen bonds mediate the characteristic L-shaped molecular structure. tRNAs have two regions of fundamental functional importance: the anti-codon, which is responsible for specific mRNA codon recognition, and the 3' end, to which the tRNAs corresponding amino acid is attached (by aminoacyl-tRNA synthetases). tRNAs cope with the degeneracy of the genetic code in two manners: having more than one tRNA (with a specific anti-codon) for a particular amino acid; and 'wobble' base-pairing, i.e. permitting non-standard base-pairing at the 3rd anti-codon position.
Source: RNAcentral
CUGGAAUGGUCUAGUUGGUUAUGACGACUGCCUAACACGCAGUAGGUCCCGAGUUCGAUUCUCGGUUCCAGUA